This is a small nuclear RNA of Suncus etruscus (white-toothed pygmy shrew), 102 nucleotides long. Lineage: Eukaryota; Metazoa; Chordata; Mammalia; Eulipotyphla; Soricidae. The record is from RefSeq and is a predicted model, not a curated record.
GUGCUCGCUUCGGCAGCACAUAUACUAAAAUUGGAACGAUACGGAGAAUAUUAGCAAGGCCCCUUCGCAGUUAACCACUUUCAAGAAUUAAAAGCAAUUAGU